RNAcentral lists this ribosomal RNA (429 nucleotides) under Gemmatimonadota bacterium. RNAcentral describes it as "Gemmatimonadetes bacterium partial 16S ribosomal RNA". It matches the Rfam family "Bacterial small subunit ribosomal RNA", at positions 355 to 776 of the family's 1533-position model. Lineage: Bacteria; Pseudomonadati; Gemmatimonadota. The record is from RNAcentral.
UAGGGAAUCUUCGGCAAUGGACGAAAGUCUGACCGACCAACGCCGCGUGAGUGAAGAAGGUUUUCGGAUCGUAAAACUCUGUUGUUAGAGAAGAACAAGGACGUUAGUAACUGAACGUCCCCUGACGGUAUCUAACCAGAAAGCCACGGCUAACUACGUGCCAGCAGCCGCGGUAAUACGUAGGUGGCAAGCGUUGUCCGGAUUUAUUGGGCGUAAAGCGAGCGCAGGCGGUUUCUUAAGUCUGAUGUGAAAGCCCCCGGCUCAACCGGGGAGGGUCAUUGGAAACUGGGAGACUUGAGUGCAGAAGAGGAGAGUGGAAUUCCAUGUGUAGCGGUGAAAUGCGUAGAUAUAUGGAGGAACACCAGUGGCGAAGGCGGCUCUCUGGUCUGUAACUGACGCUGAGGCUCGAAAGCGUGGGGAGCAAACAGG